GGAUUAGAAACCCUGGUAGUCCACGCCGUAAACGGUGGGCGCUAGGUGUGGGGACCAUUCCACGGUCUCUGUGCCGCAGCUAACGCACUAAGCGCCCCGCCUGGGGAGUACGGCCGCAAGGCUAAAACUCAAAGGAAUUGACGGGGGCCCGCACAAGCGGCGGAGCAUGUGGAUUAAUUCGACGCAACGCGAAGAACCUUACCAGGGCUUGAAAUAUACGGAAAAGCCACAGAGAUGUGGUGUCCUUCGGGCCGGUAUACAGGUGGUGCAUGGUUG
This 276-nucleotide ribosomal RNA is filed under the name uncultured bacterium. RNAcentral describes it as "partial 16S ribosomal RNA". It matches the Rfam family "Bacterial small subunit ribosomal RNA", at positions 775 to 1051 of the family's 1533-position model. The record is from RNAcentral.